UACAGAGGUUGCAAGCGUUGUUCGGAAUUACUGGGCGUAAAGGGCGCGUAGGCGGCCUUCUAAGUCAGACGUGAAAUCCCCCGGCUUAACCUGGGAACUGCGUCUGAUACUGGAGGGCUUGAGUGCGGGAGAGGGAUGUGGAAUUCCAGGUGUAGCGGUGAAAUGCGUAGAUAUCUGGAGGAACACCGGUGGCGAAGGCGGCAUUCUGGACCGAAACUGACGCUGAGGCGCGAAAGCAAGGGGAGCAAACGGG
RNAcentral lists this ribosomal RNA (253 nucleotides) under uncultured bacterium. RNAcentral describes it as "partial 16S ribosomal RNA". It matches the Rfam family "Bacterial small subunit ribosomal RNA", at positions 524 to 776 of the family's 1533-position model. The record is from RNAcentral.